RNAcentral lists this ribosomal RNA (253 nucleotides) under uncultured bacterium. RNAcentral describes it as "partial 16S ribosomal RNA". It matches the Rfam family "Bacterial small subunit ribosomal RNA", at positions 524 to 776 of the family's 1533-position model. The record is from RNAcentral.
UACGGGGGGGGCAAGCGUUGUUCGGAAUUACUGGGCGUAAAGUGUGCGCAGGCGGCUUCGCAAGUCGAGUGUGAAAUCCCCGAGCUUAACUUGGGAAUUGCGCUCGAAACUACGGAGCUGGAGUGUGGCAGAGGAAGGUGGAAUUCCACGUGUAGCGGUGAAAUGCGUAGAGAUGUGGAGGAACACCGAAAGCGAAGGCAGCUCACUGGCGCACUCCUGACGCUGAAACACGAAAGCGUAGGUAGCGAAUGGG